Molecule: non-coding RNA, 481 nt
Filed under: Perkinsus marinus ATCC 50983
Lineage: Eukaryota; Perkinsozoa; Perkinsida; Perkinsidae
Description: Eukaryotic large subunit ribosomal RNA
Rfam family: Eukaryotic large subunit ribosomal RNA
Source: Rfam by way of RNAcentral
AAGGCCUGAUGUGUGUGAGAUUACCCGCUGAAUUUAAGCAUAUAAGUAAGCGGAGGAAAAGAAACUAACUAGGAUUCCCUUAGUAAUGGCGAAUGAACAGGGAUCAGCUCAGUGCCAAAUCGGAAUCACUUGUGGUUCUGAAAUGUGGCUUGAAGGCAGUACCAGUGGCAUCGCGGACGAAAGUCUCUUGGAAAAGAGCGUCAUAGAGGGUGAGAAUCCCGUGAGUCGUUCGCCGUUUGUCACGUACGGUCUGCGUUCUAACGAGUCGCGUUCCUUGGGAUUGGAGCGUAAACGGGUGGUAAAUUUCAUCCAAAGCAAAAUAUAUACUCGAGACCGAUAGCACAAAAGUACCGUGAGGGAAAGGUGAAAAGAACUUUGAGAAGAGGGUUAAAUAGUGCCUGAAAUCGUUGAGAAGGAAGCGGAUGCCGCCGUUGCAUAUGCUGAUUGUAGGAUGCUGCUCGCUCCUGUCUCUGCUACUCAU